GCGUUACUCGUUAGCUUUGCGCAGUGGCAGUAUCGUAGCCAAUGAGGUUUAUCCGAGGCGCGAUUAUUGCUAAUUGAAAACUUUUCCCAAUACCCCGCCGUGACGACUUGAAAUAUAGUCGGCAUUGGCAAUUUUUGACAGUCUCUACGGAGACUGAAUAUUUCAGUUCAAAAGAAGAACUGACGUCCGACAUUGCACGAAUGCUUGCUGUGAUCCUUGCCCACGUAGUCAGGAGGCCAGAGGUGUCCCAGGACAGACGCCCUCAAGAGGCCCACCCUUGCUCCUGGCAGAUCCAGGUGGACGUGCGUAGGCCAUCUCCCAUCAAACACUCCUCCGGUCUGUAAGCGAAAGGAUUUGGUUAUUAAGGGCUAAGGUGUGGUGGACAGGCAUCUAUUGCUUCAGGGCAGCCUUGGGGAAAACUGCCCCAGCGGUAAAUUAGACCCAAUCGCUGCUUCGGGGAGUUCAGUUUUGAGACAGGCCGCAAGUAAACGAACAGAUGAGCUAGAAAAUUACAGAUUAUUUCAGUGCUAUGAAGAAAAUAAGCAGGGAGCUGUGGUGGAGCCAUCAUUCUUUUCUUUUUUCUUUUCUUUC
Acinonyx jubatus (cheetah) is the source of this 591-nucleotide long non-coding RNA. RefSeq lists it as uncharacterized. The record is from RefSeq and is a predicted model, not a curated record. NCBI's taxonomy places the organism in Eukaryota, Metazoa, Chordata, Mammalia, Carnivora, Felidae. The transcript is spliced from 3 exons.